CUUGACGAAAGUUGUUGCGUUCUUGAGCGUAUUUAUUUUACUAAUAUCUACUCUUAAAGAGAGUCUUGUCUUGAGUGCUAAGUGUUUGUAUACAUUUGAAGGGAAGUGUUAAUCCCUUGUGGUUGUAAGAAGGAACGUUUUCAUUCCUUUGGUUUAAGUCUUGAAGUGUGGUAUCUUCGAGCAAAGGUUGUUGAGGCUUGUGUGACUCAAGUUCUCAGUUUGUAACGGUUUGUUAAGCACCCGUAAGCUUAA
Molecule: long non-coding RNA, 252 nt
Filed under: Nicotiana benthamiana
Lineage: Eukaryota; Viridiplantae; Streptophyta; Magnoliopsida; Solanales; Solanaceae
Description: long non-coding RNA (NBEN_LNC027533)
Source: RNAcentral